UUUCCUCUUCAAAGUCAUUAUUUUAUUGAUUACAUGUUUAUCUAGUGCUCUACUUUGCACUCUUACCUUGUAGUGAAGAAUAUUUAAAUAUCUGAUGAAGGCAGAGACAAGAUGCGUGAGCUCUCUCUCCUUCACCUAAGAAGACAAAAGAACCAGCUCUUCGACAUUGUGGGAAUUCCUGACAUGAGAAUUUGGUCAGCAAUGUUGCUGGGAACCUGUGGAAUUGGAAGAGGGUCUGGCCUUGGACUAUCAUGCUGGGAAAAGGAGUGGAGAAGCAGAAGACUUUAAUGUUACUAUCAUCCAAUAAACAUCUAUUUCUAAAAUACCUAAGGUCAUCUUGGAUCCACUUGGAAGGAAAGAAGUUUCAAUGAGCAAUUCAGAGAGCUCAAAGCAAACCGAUGAUUUUCAUUUACGAUAUCGCAUAAGCCUCCUAUGAACUGAAUUCACAUUGACUUCAGUGGGAGUUCUUUGCAUGGAGGGAUAGGAAUGUAAGACUAAAACCAAAAAUGUUUAAAGUGAAUGUGAAUCUGCAAGUGGAAAAGGCAGGGCAGCUGUUGAUCAGUACAAAAGAUGUUCACUAAUUCUCCUGUCAUUGAUCUGGUAGCCUAUGUCACUUUGCUUUUCCACGGAGAUUUAAUAGCAGAUCAAGGUGUGUGU
Molecule: long non-coding RNA, 657 nt
Organism: Mauremys mutica (yellowpond turtle)
Lineage: Eukaryota; Metazoa; Chordata; Testudines; Geoemydidae
Exons: 3
Source: RefSeq, a predicted model, not a curated record